UUUUUGGAGAGUUUGAUCCUGGCUCAGGACGAACGCUGGCGGCGUGCUUAACACAUGCAAGUCGAACGAUGAAGCCCUUCGGGGUGGAUUAGUGGCGAACGGGUGAG
RNAcentral lists this ribosomal RNA (107 nucleotides) under Actinospica acidithermotolerans. Its description in RNAcentral is "Bacterial small subunit ribosomal RNA". It matches the Rfam family "Bacterial small subunit ribosomal RNA", at positions 1 to 110 of the family's 1533-position model. Lineage: Bacteria; Bacillati; Actinomycetota; Actinomycetes; Catenulisporales; Actinospicaceae. The record is from Rfam by way of RNAcentral.